Molecule: long non-coding RNA, 589 nt
Organism: Perca fluviatilis (European perch)
Lineage: Eukaryota; Metazoa; Chordata; Actinopteri; Perciformes; Percidae
Exons: 4
Source: RefSeq, a predicted model, not a curated record
CGGUUCUCCUGUCGCAGGCUGGAUCUCACUUCUCUUGUUUGAUAUCUCCUCGCUCCACGGCUGAACCAGAAGUUGUUCUGGCCCUCCUUCGUGAAGGCCGUCUCAAAGCUCUUAUUCCUGCCCCGAGGAGCGAGGAUGGAGGAGGGAUCUCUGAGGGAGCUACGAGCGAGGAUACAAAUUCACGUGACGCAUUCAGAGGUGCUGCCGGCUGCGCGGGGAGAAGAUGAAAAAAAAAGGAUGUUCUCGUGUGUAGCGUGCGCCCUUUGGCAUGUCCAUACACUUGUAGGCGUUGCACAGCGUGAGCACGUCUGCAUGUUACUCCUCUGCGACUGUUAGUGGGUCCGCAUGUGACUGCCUCCGCUGGGUCCCAGCGGGGGGGCUGCGGGUGGCCCCGCCCACCCCAGGCCGGUUCCAGCCAAUCAGGUGCUAAUGUGCGGGAACAGGAGAGGGCUGCGCUGACAGAUGGCCGGCUGACCUGGAAAACCUGCCCCCCUUUUCAGGGUUCAGCAGUCGGCAGAUGACAGAGAGGUCAGAAGUCAGGGCCACAGCUUCACAUCGCACACAAGUAAUGGAGUGAAAAACCUGCUGU